This 293-nucleotide ribosomal RNA is filed under the name uncultured bacterium. RNAcentral describes it as "partial 16S ribosomal RNA". It matches the Rfam family "Archaeal small subunit ribosomal RNA", at positions 455 to 747 of the family's 1478-position model. The record is from RNAcentral.
GUGCCAGCAGCCGCGGUAAUACCGGCAGCCCAAGUGAUGGCCGAUCUUAUUGGGCCUAAAGCGUCCGUAGCCUGCCGUACGGGUCCGUCGGGAAAUCCGCCCGCUCAACGGGCGGCCGUCCGGCGGAACCUGUGUGGCUUGGGACCGGGAGGCCUGAGGGGUACGAUCGGGGUAGGAGUGAAAUCCUGUAAUCCCGCUCGGACCGCCGAUGGGGAAACCACCUCAGGAGAACGGAUCCGACAGUGAGGGACGAAAGCCAGGGUCUCGAACCGGAUUAGAAACCCUUGUAGUCC